This 305-nucleotide ribosomal RNA is filed under the name uncultured bacterium. RNAcentral's name for it is "bacterial SSU rRNA". It matches the Rfam family "Bacterial small subunit ribosomal RNA", at positions 334 to 636 of the family's 1533-position model. The record is from RNAcentral.
UGGCCCUACGGGGGGCAGCAGUGAGGAAUAUUAGUCAAUGGGCGAGAGCCUGAACCAGCCAAGUCGCCUGAGGGAUGACUGCCCUAUGGGUUGUAAACCUCUUUUGUAUGGGGGGAAUAAGCUUUACGAGUAGAGUGAUGACAGUACCAUACGAAUAAGCAUCGGCUAACUCCGUGCCAGCAGCCGCGGUAAUACGGAGGAUGCGAGCGUUAUCCGGAUUUAUUGGGUUUAAAGGGUGCGUAGGCGGAUUGAUAAGUUAGAGGUGAAAUGUCCGAGCUCAACUCGGGAACUGCCUCUAAUACUGU